Molecule: long non-coding RNA, 285 nt
Organism: Empidonax traillii (willow flycatcher)
Lineage: Eukaryota; Metazoa; Chordata; Aves; Passeriformes; Tyrannidae
Exons: 2
Source: RefSeq, a predicted model, not a curated record
AGUAGUGAGCAUUACCUCCUUGUGGCUGCUUAGAAACCACUCAAGGUGAAAUUCAGCUCAUGCUUUGUGACCAUCAUCCAGAAAUGAAGACAGAAGAGCACUUUGAGAAUCUGAGGGGAUUUAAGGGUUUGAAAAGUGUGUCAGUAGGUGUUAGUCUGCAAAAACAUAUGUGUGUGGGAAAAGGGCAGUUACACUAACCCAGCUAUUAUUAGUGUACUUUAAAAGGCCAUAGAUCUCUUUAACAUCUAAAUAAACUGAGAAAUCUGCCUAGAAGUAAAAAAGGAA